GAAUUUUCCGCAAUGGGCGAAAGCCUGACGGAGUGACGCCGCGUGGGGGACGAAGGCCUUCGGGUUGUAAACCCCUGUCAGAGGGAAAGCAGGGUGUCGGCGCGAAAACCGCCGGCACUUGACGGUACCUUCAGAGGAAGCCCCGGCCAACUCUGUGCCAGCAGCCGCGGUAAGACAGAGGGGGCAAGCGUUGCUCGGAAUCACUGGGCGUAAAGGGCGCGUAGGCGGGAUGGCAAGUCAGUCGUGAAAUCUCUCGGCUCAACCGAGAAACGUCGGCUGAUACUGCCGUUCUUGAGGGAUGCAGAGGAGACUGGAAUUCCCGGUGUAGCGGUGAAAUGUGUAGAGAUCGGGAGGAACACCGGUGGCGAAGGCGGGUCUCUGGGCAUUUCCUGACGCUGAGGCGCGAAAGCGUGGGGAGCAAACGGG
This 426-nucleotide ribosomal RNA is filed under the name uncultured bacterium. Its description in RNAcentral is "bacterial SSU rRNA". It matches the Rfam family "Bacterial small subunit ribosomal RNA", at positions 359 to 776 of the family's 1533-position model. The record is from RNAcentral.